UGGGGAAAGGCCGGGCGGCGUGCUUACACAUGCAAGUCGAACGGAAAGGCCCUGCUUGCAGGGUACUCGAGCGGCGAACGGGUGAGUAACACGUGGGUGAUCUGCCCUGCACUUCGGGAUAAGCCUGGGAAACUGGGUCUAAUACCGGAUAGGAGCCAUUUUUAGUGUGAUGGUUGGAAAGUUUUUUCGGUGUAGGAUGAGCUCGCGGCCUAUCAGCUUGUUGGUGGGGUAGUGGCCUACCAAGGCGGCGACGGGUAGCCGGCCUGAGAGGGUGGGCGGCCACAUUGGGACUGAGAUACGGCCCAGACUCCUACGGGAGGCAGCAGUGGGGAAUAUUGCACAAUGGGCGCAAGCCUGAUGCAGCGACGCCGCGUGGGGGAUGACGGCCUUCGGGUUGUAAACUCCUUUCGCUAGGGACGAAGCUUUUGUGACGGUACCUAGAUAAGAAGCACCGGCUAACUACGUGCCAGCAGCCGCGGUAAUACGUAGGGUGCGAGCGUUGUCCGGAAUUACUGGGCGUAAAGGGCUCGUAGGUGGUUUGUCGCGUCGUCUGUGAAAUUCCGGGGCUUAACUCCGGGCGUGCAGGCGAUACGGGCAUAACUUGAGUACUGUAGGGGUAACUGGAAUUCCUGGUGUAGCGGUGAAAUGCGCAGAUAUCAGGAGGAACACCGAUGGCGAAGGCAGGUUACUGGGCAGUUACUGACGCUGAGGAGCGAAAGCAUGGGUAGCGAACAGGAUUAGAUACCCUGGUAGUCCAUGCCGUAAACGGUGGGCGCUAGGUGUGAGGGUCUUUUCACGACUUUCGUGCCGUAGCUAACGCAUUAAGCGCCCCGCCUGGGGAGUACGGGCCGCAAGGCUAAAACUCAAAUGAAUUUGACGGAAGGGC
Molecule: ribosomal RNA, 886 nt
Filed under: uncultured bacterium
Lineage: Bacteria
Description: bacterial SSU rRNA
Rfam family: Bacterial small subunit ribosomal RNA
Source: RNAcentral